Nothobranchius furzeri (turquoise killifish) is the source of this 1539-nucleotide long non-coding RNA. RefSeq lists it as uncharacterized. The record is from RefSeq and is a predicted model, not a curated record. NCBI's taxonomy places the organism in Eukaryota, Metazoa, Chordata, Actinopteri, Cyprinodontiformes, Nothobranchiidae.
UACUACGUAGCAGCUCCGUGCCAAAGUUAUAAAAGCAACGAGAGUCUCGGCCACGCCCUGUGGCGAGUGGGAGUUGGAUUUGCAAGCGAGCGUAGGAGGUCAGCGGUAGUUCAGCAUUAGCAUAUAGCAUUAGCAUAUCCUAGUCUUAGCAUAUCCUUUAGUGUUAUAAAUACUUAUUUAGUGUUAGAUUUGGCUGUUGGAUAUUGUAGUUGAGUUAGUGUUUGGCUGUUAGUGUAAUUGGGAAAGUAUUUCGGGUUUAGUGCUCCAUAUCGUCUUAGUAUUGGUGAGUAGGUGUAGUGUAGUAUGCUUGCGGUGACUCUGUGGGCAUUUUACCCGCGAUUCUGCACGUCUCCGUUUGAAGAGGGAGGCUGUGCCCACCGUGGCUCCUCCGCGAUUUAGAUGCAGCCCACGGACUCUGCUCCCCCACCACGGCGGGCUCCAGUCUGAGGUGAGUACGCUAAAUAAACGUUUUAACAUCUUCUAAAGACAAUUCCCUACCUAAAUGCAAAGUCUGAGAGACAUGGUUCACUUCCUUUAGCUAGUCAGUCGGCAAUUCUGCAACAGUGGCUCUAACUGACGCAGCACUUGACAGACAGCAUUACAGCGUGAAAUCCAGCUUGUGAACAGGUUCUGUGAGGAAUUCUGUUCAGGAGGUCUCCUUUCAGGCUCUCCACAUCAUAUGUGCCGUAGUCACGUGCGUGGUUAGCACUGUGGGACAUCCUGUUGUCGUUGCGUUGAAACUUUUGAUAUCUUUUAUGAUGAAAAGAACACCUAAGCCAUCGGGAUCAGCAUUCUGGAAGUGAAGGAAGGAAGAAGAAAAUAAACGGGCCCAAAGCAGAGCGUCUUCUAUCCAGGCAUCACGCAGCAGCACAUUUACUGAGCUACAAUCUCAGCAUCUAGAACCAGAAAAAGAACCCAACACCAGCAGACUCCGUGCUCCAAUCCAACAGCCUGAAGAGACGCCAUCAUCAGCUUCAACAGAUGUCUGUGAACAUGUAUGAGCUGCUGGCCCCAUGGAUCCUGCUGACUGGCCACAGCAGUUGAAGAAAAUGGAAAGUAGAACUUUCUUUAUGAUGACACUUAGAUAUUUGAGUUUUGCUUUUGAUUGCACAGUUUAAUGCUGCUUUUGAUUUUGCAUCCUCCAAUGACAUUUGCACAACAUUUUGAGUUGUUGGUUAUUGUAAUAUUCUCAGGUUACUUAUCUUUCAAGCUUACAUUUAUUGUUCAGGCUGUUGACUUUAAAGAGUUGCUGUGUGAAUAUUUAAAAUAAAAAAUUAGUAACCAAGGAAUAACUGUGGAGUUGCUUUUUCCAAUGUGCGGAUCGCAGAUUCAGCCACACCAUAAAACAGCAAUAAGUCGGUCUGAGGCAAAAGUGAACCUCAUGGCUUUUCCAUCUUUUCCCAUAUAGACAUUUGAUUACGCACAAGUAGGUGAUCAGCUCAGGUUUACGCAGAACAGAAGGAAGGAGAGCGCUCUGGCCGCACAGGUUAAACGUUCCUACUUUAAGAAAACUGUGAAAUUGCAUUGUUUAUGUGCUAC